GUAGGGUGCAAGCGUUAAUCGGAAUUACUGGGCGUAAAGCGUGCGCAGGCGGGUUUUGUAAGUCUGUCGUGAAAGCCCCGGGGCUUAACCUGGGAAUUGCGAUGGAGACUGCAAGGCUUGAAUCUGGCAGAGGGGGGUAGAAUUCCACGUGUAGCAGUGAAAUGCGUAGAGAUGUGGAGGAACACCGAUGGCGAAGGCAGCCCCCUGGGUCAAGAUUGACGCUCAUGCACGAAAGCGUGGGGAGCAAACAGGAUUAGAUACCCUGGUAGUCCACGCCCUAAACGAUGUCUACUAGUUGUCGGGUCUUAAUUGACUUGGUAACGCAGCUAACGCGUGAAGUAGACCGCCUGGGGAGUACGGUCGCAAGAUUA
RNAcentral lists this ribosomal RNA (371 nucleotides) under uncultured organism. RNAcentral's name for it is "partial 16S ribosomal RNA". It matches the Rfam family "Bacterial small subunit ribosomal RNA", at positions 527 to 896 of the family's 1533-position model. The record is from RNAcentral.